AGUGAGGCAGGAGCAGUCGGCGCCCACACGCCGGAUCUGCCGCACCCGCUGCCACCCACAGUCCUCUGGCGAGCUCUCAGAUGGGAGGAACAGGAAGCUCAGCGGGCUCCAUCCCCGCCUUUUGCAAGAAGAUGACUCUUCUGCCAGAUGGGAGGGGACGCCCACCUCCGCCACGCCAGCUUCUGUCUUCCUCCCGGUGACGGCACCACAGCUCCCCCGGCACCGCGUACAUUCCUGAAGUGGUGCCCCCACGAUGCCUCGGAAAGUAACCAUGGCCGCCCUCAUGGCAGCUCACCUGUUUUGGGGUAUUUUAUUCGCAUCUGCAGAGUAGAGAGGAACAUUCCAGAAUGUGAAGACUUCAGAACGUGGACCCUGGGUUCUGGAGAGCAGGUGGCCUGACUUUUAGCUGGGAGCUGGGGGGAUACACCCACAACUCAGUGGGAGGACCCCCAGCCGCUCUGGAGACCUGGCUUUCCAGUAGGUCUGCAUAGCUCUGAAUUGAUUUUGGAAGAAACCGCCCUGAACUGUUUUUCUCACUGCCCUGUCUGGAAAAAAAAAACAUCACCUUGUAACUUUAUGUAAAUGAGCCACAUAGCAUGCUCCUUUGCAGGAGGGGCUCAGCA
Homo sapiens (human) is the source of this 623-nucleotide long non-coding RNA. The record is from Ensembl. NCBI's taxonomy places the organism in Eukaryota, Metazoa, Chordata, Mammalia, Primates, Hominidae.